Molecule: RNA transcript, 1214 nt
Organism: Phodopus roborovskii (desert hamster)
Lineage: Eukaryota; Metazoa; Chordata; Mammalia; Rodentia; Cricetidae
Gene: Eef1akmt2
Gene name: EEF1A lysine methyltransferase 2
Exons: 7
Source: RefSeq, a predicted model, not a curated record
AUCGCCUAGAGAGGCCAAGCUUGCGCGUCCCCUCUGCCCGAACCGCGUCUCUGCGUCUCUAUGGCGGCCGCGACAGCCCAUUAGGCACAGAGCGACAUGAACGCGGAUGCUGACGGCCACUGCGGCGCUGCGGUCCCUGUACGGUCUCGAGACGGCAGUCCCGUGGCGGCUGACUUCGUCCCGUCGGCGCUGGGGACACGAGAGCAUUGGGAUGCUGUUUAUGAGAGAGAACUGAGAACAUUCCGAGAAUAUGGAGAUACAGGAGAAAUCUGGUUUGGGGAAGAGAGUAUGAACCGACUAAUAAGGUGGAUGCAAAAACACAAGAUUCCAUCGGAUGCCUCAGUGCUUGACAUUGGAACUGGAAAUGGUGUUUUCCUGGUUGAACUUGUGAAACAUGGUUUCUCUAAUAUAACUGGGAUCGAUUAUUCUCCUUCUGCAAUUAAGCUUUCUGCAAGUAUUUUAGAGAAAGAAGGGCUAUCUAACAUUAACUUGAAGGUAGAAGACUUUUUGAGUCUUUCCACAAAGCUGUCUGGAUUUCAUGUUUGUGUUGACAAAGGGACUUUCGAUGCCAUAAGUCUUAAUCCUGACAAUGCAGUUGAGAAGAGGAAGCAGUAUGUGAAGUCUCUCUCCAGGGUGUUGGAAGUAAAAGGCUUUUUUCUAAUAACCUCAUGUAAUUGGACCAAGGCAGAGUUGCUAGAUGUGUUCAGUGAAGGAUUUGAACUUUUUGAAGAGUUGCCAACACCCAAGUUCAGCUUUGGAGGUAGAUCUGGAAAUACUGUAGCAGCUUUAGUUUUUCAAAAAAGUGAGACUUUCUUGGACAAAGUCAGUUAGCUUUCUAGAAGAAACUGUACAGCAAAGUAAACCCGAUACAGAAGAAGCAAGUACAAAGAGUGCUUAGUAUGGAUGUCCUACACCUGCAUGAGAACUCACACAGAACUAGCAGGGAAGAAAAACAAAGAAGCAGGUGAAUCUCAUCCUUCUUAAAAUGACAGUGGUGUGAAUGAAAACAAAGACCUUUAUUUUUGCAAACAGUAUAUUGACAAACACUGAAGACAGUGAAGAGAUUCACAAGCUUGCAAACUAGGCGAAUAUUCUCAUGGUCCUCUAGUCUCUCCUGCUAGACCCAGAGACAACUUUCCCCCUUCAUAUUUGAACCCAAAGGAUUCAGGAUUUAGAUUGUGUAUUUAAGCUUUGUGAAAUCAUGAACUAUAUAC